Long non-coding RNA from Mus musculus (house mouse), 2014 nucleotides. RefSeq lists it as uncharacterized. The transcript has 2 exons. NCBI's taxonomy places the organism in Eukaryota, Metazoa, Chordata, Mammalia, Rodentia, Muridae. The record is from RefSeq and is a predicted model, not a curated record.
UUCUACCUUUUUAAUUAAAAAAAAAAAUUUACUUACGUGUAUUUUACUUGCAUGAUACUUGCAUGAGUGUUUGCCUACAUGUAUGUAUGUGCACUAUGAACAAGCCAUGCCUAAGGUGGUCGUAGAUGGUGUCCGAUGCCUCAGAACUGGAGUUGUGACCUUCUGUGUGCAUGCUGGGAACUGAACCUGGGUCCUCUGCAAGAGAAGAAGCAAGUUUGCUUAACCAUUGUGCCAUCUUCCCAGACCCUGACUAAGCAUCAUGUGGGUUGGGGGGUGGGGGUAGGGGGUUGUGAUGGUUUUCUCAAGACCAGUUCUAAUGCAGCAGGAUUUCAAGAGAGACCAUCUAGACUUGCAAAGAAAAUGUGCCUUUCUGCUCUAUUCCACGUCAAAGGCAGGCCUCAUUUUGUGCAACAGGAAAAGAACUUCCUAGUAGUCUCAAGCGAGCAGUACUUAGGAGAAAAGCUCUUGUGGGGUGUGGGGGGUAGGGUGGAGACCGAGAGAGACACACAGAGAGACACACAGAGAGACACACAGAGAGACACACAGAGACGAAAAGACAGAGAGAGACUCCAGGGUUGGCUGAAUCAAUAAUUCAAGACAUCAAGCACAUCUGUUUUUCAGUGUGCUGGUACAGUGAGCUAUUUUUAAGCAUGGGGGUGGGGUGGGGUGGUCACUGUAUUUAUGUGGGUGAUGCUCGAUAGAGAAGUGAGUCAGCAAUUUCACUCCGGUUCUUGGAUCUCACACCAGGCACUUUCUCUCCUCUCCCAGUCCUGCCCUCCGACCCUGUUUCAAUCAGCUCCGGGGACUGUCUACCUCCAGGACGGGUAAGGAUACCAUGUAACAAGUUCUAGGAGCAAACCGGCUCACUGGGAGAUGGAGGGCAAGGCUGCAGUAUAGGAAGGACCAUUACCAGCUGGCAAAAGAAAGCUCAAACUGCUGCAUCAGGGAGCUCCAGCCCGGGGGAGCUUCUAAAAGCUCUAGCCUGCAGAGGGGAAGCUGCUUCGAGACACUGAGUGCCGGCCAGACCAAUCUAUCCCUCUGGCCCUGCUGUGGGUCAUCGCCAUGUGCCUCAUCUGAGACUGUUUGGAUUUCCUACUGCUGCCUCACAGACGGGCUUCAGGCACAUUUUCUUUUUAAAUUUAGACAGACUUCAGUUUUCAUCAAAACCCUGCCGCUUUGAAACUGUGCUCUUGAGAAAAAGACUUUGUCCCUCCCCAGUGCCCCACGCCUCAACCCCACGAUGCUUAGCCAGUGGUUAAGAGCUAAUAUGGGCUCUGUUCAUCAUGUCACUGCCUGGCUUUGUUUAAAAUGGUGUGGAUUCUGAACAUUCUUUAAGUUCCUGACGUCAACCGUACACAUCAAAUUAAUACCGAAAUCCUCAUUUCGCUCUGGCCCAGAUUCUAGGCCCAGACCUAGUUAGCAGCCUUUCAGGAAGGCGAAUGGCUGCCAUGACCUAUGGAGAGUUUGGAUCUCAGAUGUCUUCUUGUUUGAGACAGGACAUCCCUUAGCUCGGGCUGGCCUACAACAAAUAUCUCUCGCCCCUGCCUCCUCAGAACUGGGAAUGAAGGUGUGUAUCCCUACUCCUGGUUAUUUGUUUUUUUAAUGUACACAUUAAGAUGUAUGUGCGUCAGUACCCACAUGACACCAUGAACAUGCUGGGCUAAAAGGACAACUCUGUGGAGACACUUCUCCCCUUUGGUCUGAAACUCAAGUCACCAGGCCUGGACCAUCAGAUGGCAAGACCACCUUUACCUCCUGAGUGAUCUGGCCAGCCUGCUUCUCAGACAGGCAGUCUUGAUAUUCUGCCUGCCACCUCCUCCAUGGGCCACCAGCAAGUAAAGACAGACAGCUGCAACUUGCCCUGUAAACCAGGCUUGCUGGAGAAGGGGCUGGGGCUCUAUCUAUAACCAAUCAUCUUAUACUUUCAUGGAAUCUUGGCAGCAGCCAAUGAGAACUUCAAAGGCUUGGCCUAGCUGUGGGAUGGGACAAUAAACAUGUUAAUCCCUUGUCUUAA